AAGAUGUGCCUUGAAGAGUUUGAUCAUGGCUCAGAUUGAACGCUGGCGGCAGGCCUAACACAUGCAAGUCGAACGGUAACAGGAAGCAGCUUGCNCUUCGCUNNNNACGGGUGAGUAAUGUCUGGGAAACUGCCUGAUGGAGGGGGAUAACUACUGGAAACGGUGGCUAAUACCGCAUAACGUCGCAAGACCAAAGAGGGGGACCUUCGGGCCUCUUGCCAUCACAGAUGGGAUUAGCUAGUUGGUGAGGUAACGGCUCACCAAGGCGACGAGUGGCGGAUCCCUAGCUGGUCUGAGAGGAUGACCAGCCACACUGGAACUGAGACACGGUCCAGACUCCUACGGGAGGCAGCAGUGGGGAAUAUUGCACAAUGGGCGCAAGCCUGAUGCAGCCAUGCCGCGUGUAUGAAGAAGGCCUUCGGGUUGUAAAGUACUUUCAGCGGGGAGGAAGGUGUUGUGGUUAAUAACAAUUGACGUUACCCGCAGAAGAAGCACCGGCUAACUCCGUGCCAGCAGCGGUAAUACGGAGGGUGCAAGCGUUAAUCGGAAUUACUGGGCGUAAAGCGCACGCAGGCGGUCUGUCAAGUCGGAUGUGAAAUCCCCGGGCUCAACCUGGGAACUGCAUUCGAAACUGGCAGGCUUGAGUCUUGUAGAGGGGGGUAGAAUUCCAGGUGUAGCGGUGAAAUGCGGCCUAGAGAUCUGGAGGAAUACCGGUGGCGAAGGCGGCCCCCUGGACAAAGACUGACGCUCAGGUGCGAAAGCGUGGGGAGCAAACAGGAUUAGAUACCCGCAGCCUGGUAGUCCACGCCGUAAACGAUGUCUACUUGGAGGUUGUGCCCUUGAGGCGUGGCUUCCGGACGUAACGCGUUAAGUAGACCGCCUGGGGAGUACGGCCGCAAGGUUAAAACUCAAAUGAAUUGACGGGGGCCGCACAAGCGGUGGAGCAUGUGGUUUAAUUCGAUGCAACGCGAAGAACCUUACCUGGUCUUGACAUCCACAGAAGAAUCCAGAGAUGGAUUGGUGCCUUCGGGAACUGUGAGACAGGUGCUGCAUGGCUGUCGUCAGCUCGUGUUGUGAAAUGUUGGGUUAAGUCCCGCAACGAGCGCAACCCUUAU
Molecule: ribosomal RNA, 1115 nt
Filed under: Salmonella sp. m33
Lineage: Bacteria; Pseudomonadati; Pseudomonadota; Gammaproteobacteria; Enterobacterales; Enterobacteriaceae
Description: bacterial SSU rRNA
Rfam family: Bacterial small subunit ribosomal RNA
Source: RNAcentral